RNAcentral lists this long non-coding RNA (231 nucleotides) under Olea europaea (common olive). Its description in RNAcentral is "long non-coding RNA (OEUR_LNC001479)". The record is from RNAcentral. Lineage: Eukaryota; Viridiplantae; Streptophyta; Magnoliopsida; Lamiales; Oleaceae.
UUUCCAUCCCCUAUCGGACCCUAUGUCGAUUUAUAUUCUAUCGAAUUUAUUCCCCUUCUUUCGAAUGCAAAGAAUAAAUCAUCUACAAUCACAUAAUAAUUGGCCAAAUAAUUAUGGAAGCAUUCAAAUCAUAUAAAUCAAACAUUUGUCCAAUCGAAACUAAUGUUGAAUUUAUGAAAUAACGGAAAUUUAAAUCAUCAAAAGGUUCAUCAAAUUCCUAAUGAACAAAAA